Molecule: long non-coding RNA, 1712 nt
Organism: Brachypodium distachyon (stiff brome)
Lineage: Eukaryota; Viridiplantae; Streptophyta; Magnoliopsida; Poales; Poaceae
Exons: 2
Source: RefSeq, a predicted model, not a curated record
GAGAAGAAUUACCGAAUCAGAGCGGUACGCCGGCUGGUUUGCCCCCUUUCCCGAACCCUUCUUCUCCGCCUCCGUUCCGCUCACCGCCUCGUGACCUUUUUCCUAACCCCCCGCCGCAGCCUGCCACCCCUCCUGAUUCCCGGCUUUCCGCCCAUCACCUCCUCCUCCUCCUCCUCUCAUUCCUGUCCCUCUAUCGAGCUAGGUCCCAUAGUCGUCCUCCGGCGGAGGCCGGCUCCUUUAAUCCUGGAUGCGACUGCGGCGAUCCGGAGCAGCUCAGGGUCGCACCGCCCGAGCCUGCCCUUCUCGCGUUGCCCCGGGACGCGGCAUUCGCGGGCCAACUGCACCACGCCGGCGGGCGCUCGCAUGCCUCCGGUGCGGCCCAGCCGGGGCAUCUCCAGACGCAGUGCUCGACCGCUCGAGCGACCUGUUCCGUGGUUGGAGAGGCCCCGAUGUAUGCCGCGAGCCUGGACACGUACCAUGUACUUGCUAUGAGCCUCAUACCUUCCACGAGUGACUGUCCAGGGACCAUUGUGUCUGUAGGAUAAUCAAAUGAUUGCCAAACUGUUGCAUUCCUCCGAUCAAACAGAACCAGAUUGCCAAUCUCGGUGAUCACCAUGCCAUCUACAGACCGGCCCGAGCUGUUGCUUGACCAGACAUGGCUACCAUCAGCAUCACGAAGGACCAAAUUUCCAUCUGAGGAAAACUCAAGGGUGGCCUUCUCCCUGACAGGGCGAUUCCGGUUGGCAGACCAGAGCACCUGCGGACUAUCCGCCACCCUUGUGCUAUUGUCGACUACAUGGACAAGGAAGACGGCAAAGAGGUAUACAUCGCAUGUGUCAGAGACACAUAAGCUUAAGAACCCUGCGGUAAUAGCAGGUUUAAAUCCAGAGGAAGCUUGUGGCUGUGGAUAACAGGUGAGGACGGGGACCUGGUCCAAAUAGUAACCGUAGGAGUGAGCGGUGUUGAUCCAAACUGUCGAAGGUUUUGCUGUGCGAUGGAUCAGCAGCUGCGCCACUGAGAGCUGUGUUGCGGUUGCAAGUAGGAGGAAUAAGAGAUUGGCAGGACCCAUGGCGAUUGAAUGGAAACAGAGUCUGUAACAAAGAAUAAUCAUAACCAAGAAUAAUCAGCUAACUCUUUGCUUAUGGGAAUCGAGUAAGAAGUUGGGGAUGAGCUAACAGAGUAGAAACAAGAUGACAUGGCCAUACUUGAUGAUACUGAACCGACGGAAGAUAUGAUCGCUACCGGGAAGAUGGCCUCGCGGGCGUGGUGUGCCCGGUCUCGAAGGAGCUAAGUUUUGGGGCUUUCGGAGAUGGAUUGGUCUAUUCCGAAGCGUCACUGACUGGUUAGCUGUGCUGGUUCAUAAUUUCCAUGCUAAAGUGCUGACGUGGAGACUGGCUGGACUAACGAGCAUCCGUGGACCGUGGGCUUUUCAUGUGGUCGGCCGCUCCGUUUGACAGGAAAGAGUGUGCUCAGUCAACAAAGGUACUGCUAGCUGAGUGCUGCGUUCAAACUUGCCGUGUUACGUUUGGCAUCAGUUGCCUUUUGGAAACUCCGUGUGUUAGCAAAAUGAUCCAAAUUGAGUUACACAUGAGUAGACUCGGUGCAUUUGUCGUCUGCAAUCUUUGCUUCUCGUUGAAUUAGCUACUAUUCAUAGUUGUGUUUGUCCUUUUCUUGGUUAUUGAACUCUAUCGAUUUUGAAAUGGUUUUUCUUU